Molecule: long non-coding RNA, 227 nt
Filed under: Bos taurus (domestic cattle)
Lineage: Eukaryota; Metazoa; Chordata; Mammalia; Artiodactyla; Bovidae
Description: long non-coding RNA NONBTAT023976
Source: RNAcentral
UAUAUAGUUGACAGUAUUUUCAUAUGUAUUUAUCUUAUGUAAAUGCAGUCUCUGUUACAAUCAAGAUGCAAUUUGUUUGCUUCUAUGUUUCAUACUCUAAUAAAUAUGACUGGUAAACAUUUAUCAUUGAUUAUCAUUUGUCUAUUUUAUAUCUGUAUUAAUUUUAUUUACAUAGUGUGGUUUAUGUAACCUUAGAAAAAUAGUAAAAGCCAAUUUAUCAAAUCAAA